Molecule: long non-coding RNA, 616 nt
Filed under: Sorghum bicolor (sorghum)
Lineage: Eukaryota; Viridiplantae; Streptophyta; Magnoliopsida; Poales; Poaceae
Description: long non-coding RNA (SBIC_LNC010278)
Source: RNAcentral
UGACUAUGAUAACAGCUGAUAUAAGAUAAUCUGAUGGCUCAAUUUCUGAAUUAUCACAUUAUAAUUCGAAUCUGUGGAUUUUUCCCCCUUGUGGAAAAAUCUAGGUCAUUUCAUGCACGUUCACUCACACAUGUUGUUUCUACUCCGGAAGUACGCAUCCACAUAUAUCCAGUCAUUACCAUCUCCAGAACCACCCAAAAGUAUUCUACUCCUAAUCCGGGAGAGAAUAGCCGAAAAACAUUUCUGUUUUCCCCUGUGAAAUAAAUGCUCAAGUUAUCUUGGUUACUACCACUUGCUACAUUAUUUCAAGAGAUGAGUGCUCUAAAAAAAGAAGAAAAGUAUACGAGGAAAUAAAAAUGGGCAAGUGCCCGGAACCUCGAACGAAAAAGUGAGACGAGAGGUAAAAAUGGACAAGUGUCCGACAGUAGAAUUAGGGGUACAAGAUACCCACCUGAGAGGAAAGAAAAAGAAAAAGUAGAGCAUCUCAUUCUCCUCAAAAGUUUCAAAAUAGCAAGAAAGGUAUGUAUCCCCUCAAAAGAGCACAAGUAGAAUUAGACUUUCACCAUUGUUUUCACCAUUAUCACCAUCAUCACCAUACACCAUUCAUUCGCCACAC